Molecule: ribosomal RNA, 270 nt
Filed under: uncultured bacterium
Lineage: Bacteria
Description: partial 16S ribosomal RNA
Rfam family: Bacterial small subunit ribosomal RNA
Source: RNAcentral
AGCGAACGCUGGCGGCGUGCUUAACACAUGCAAGUCGAACGCGCAGUUUCCUGUAGCAAUACAGGGGGCGGGCGCGUGGCGAACGGGUGCGUAACACGUGGAUAACCUUCCUUCAGGUGGGGAAUAACCCCCGCGAAAGCGGGGCUAAUACCGCAUAACAUGACGAUGGCACAUGCCGUUGUCCUCAAAGCCGCAAGGCGCCAGAAGAGGGAUCCGCGGCCGAUUAGCUUGUUGGCGAGGUAAUGGCUCACCAAGGCAUUGAUCGGUAGC